AACGCGAAGAACCUUACCUGGUCUUGACAUCCACGGAAGUUUUCAGAGAUGAGAAUGUGCCUUCGGGAACCGUGAGACAGGUGCUGCAUGGCUGUCGUCAGCUCGUGUUGUGAAAUGUUGGGUUAAGUCCCGCAACGAGCGCAACCCUUAUCCUUUGUUGCCAGCGGUCCGGCCGGGAACUCAAAGGAGACUGCCAGUGAUAAACUGGAGGAAGGUGGGGAUGACGUCAAGUCAUCAUGGCCCUUACGACCAGGGCUACACACGUGCUACAAAGGCGCAUACAAAGAGAAGCGACCUCGCGAGAGCAAGCGGACCUCAUAAAGUGCGUCGUAGUCCGGAUUGGAGUCUGCAACUCGACUCCAUGAAGUCGGAAUCGCUAGUAAUCGUGGAUCAGAAUGCCACGGUGAAUACGUUCCCGGGCCUUGUACACACCG
Molecule: ribosomal RNA, 434 nt
Filed under: uncultured bacterium
Lineage: Bacteria
Description: bacterial SSU rRNA
Rfam family: Bacterial small subunit ribosomal RNA
Source: RNAcentral